GCGUUGCAGGACGUGUUAGCCACCAUGUGCGGCUUGCGGCGCGACAGGCGGAGCGAACCUUAGGCACAAGUCACCUUUUGUAUCGUCCAGCAGACUCUCCUCAACAAUGAUUACAUCCCUGGGAGAAGAGAAGAAAUCAUGGAAACAGGUGGGACAGUGUUUUAAAUUGUGAAGCACGUGGAUUGCUUUUCAAAAUAAAUGCAUUUGGAAUCCCGCAGAGAAAAUUCUAACCAAGUUGGAACCAUCUAAAAUACAAAUUCAUUCAUUCAGCAAACACUGGGUAAAUAUCCCACAGUGUGAUCUGCCAGACAAGGAGAGAGGAGAAGGAAGACAAAAGAGCAGGCUGGUGAUUUGCUUUUCCCUACAAUCCCUACUGGCGGGUUGGUUAGAGUUAUUCUUCUCCAUCUCCAAGUGGGUGAAUCCAGUAAGUGAUCCUACCAGCAUUUGUGUAAUUCGACCUAUACGCCAAGUUGGACAACCCUGCUCUUUGCUCUGACAUCAUUCAAUAGAAAAUGAUGUGUAAAUGGAAUAA
Callorhinus ursinus (northern fur seal) is the source of this 532-nucleotide long non-coding RNA. RefSeq lists it as uncharacterized. The record is from RefSeq and is a predicted model, not a curated record. NCBI's taxonomy places the organism in Eukaryota, Metazoa, Chordata, Mammalia, Carnivora, Otariidae.